UACAGAGGGGGCAAGCGUUGUUCGGAAUUACUGGGCGUAAAGGGCGCGUAGGCGGCCUGUUAAGUCGAACGUGAAAUCCCCGGGCUCAACCCGGGAACUGCGUCCGAUACUGGCAGGCUUGAAUUCGGGAGAGGGAUGUGGAAUUCCAGGUGUAGCGGUGAAAUGCGUAGAUAUCUGGAGGAACACCGGUGGCGAAGGCGGCAUCCUGGACCGAUAUUGACGCUGAUGCG
RNAcentral lists this ribosomal RNA (230 nucleotides) under uncultured bacterium. Its description in RNAcentral is "partial 16S ribosomal RNA". It matches the Rfam family "Bacterial small subunit ribosomal RNA", at positions 524 to 753 of the family's 1533-position model. The record is from RNAcentral.